UACGUAGGGUGCGAGCGUUGUCCGGAAUUAUUGGGCGUAAAGAGCUCGUAGGCGGUCUGUCGCGUCUGCUGUGAAAACCCGAGGCUCAACCUCGGGCCUGCAGUGGGUACGGGCAGACUAGAGUGCGGUAGGGGAGAUUGGAAUUCCUGGUGUAGCGGUGGAAUGCGCAGAUAUCAGGAGGAACACCGAUGGCGAAGGCAGAUCUCUGGGCUGUAACUGACGCUGAGGAGCGAAAGCGUGGGGAGCGAACAGG
This 253-nucleotide ribosomal RNA is filed under the name uncultured bacterium. Its description in RNAcentral is "partial 16S ribosomal RNA". It matches the Rfam family "Bacterial small subunit ribosomal RNA", at positions 524 to 776 of the family's 1533-position model. The record is from RNAcentral.